ACCCGCGUACAUGCCACCGGGGCAUCCCGGAGGCAGGAAAGGCUUCGGCCGGACAGGGAUGGGCAUGCGGCGCAUUAGGCAGUAGGCGGGGUAACGGCCCACCUAACCGACGAUGCGUAGGGGUUCUGAGAGGAAGGUCCCCCACACUGGUACUGAGACACGGACCAGACUCCUACGGGAGGCAGCAGUGAGGAAUAUUGGUCAAUGGUCGGGAGACUGAACCAGCCAAGCCGCGUGAGGGAGGAAGGUACAGAGUAUCGUAAACCUCUUUUGUCAGGGAACAAAGACUGGGACGCGUCCCCGGAUGAGUGUACCUGAAGAAAAAGCAUCGGCUAACUCCGUGCCAGCAGCCGCGGUAAUACGGAGGAUGCGAGCGUUAUCCGGAUUUAUUGGGUUUAAAGGGUGCGCAGGCGGUCUGUUAAGUCAGCGGUCAAAGCCCGGGGCUCAACCCCGGCCCGCCGUUGAGACUGGCAGUCUCGAGUUGGAGAGAAGUAUGCGGAAUGCGCGGUGUAGCGGUGAAAUGCAUAGAUAUCGCGCAGAACUCCGAUUGCGAAGGCAGCAUGCCGGCUCCACACUGACGCUGAGGCACGAAAGCGUGGGUAUCGAACAGGAUUAGAUACCCUGGUAGUCCACGCAGUAAACGAU
RNAcentral lists this ribosomal RNA (645 nucleotides) under uncultured bacterium. RNAcentral describes it as "bacterial SSU rRNA". It matches the Rfam family "Bacterial small subunit ribosomal RNA", at positions 167 to 810 of the family's 1533-position model. The record is from RNAcentral.